CCACCCGUGUUUAUCGUACCUUGUUGCUUCGGCGGGCCCGCCGCAAGGCCGCCGGGGGGCAUCUGCCCUCUGGCCCGCGCCCGCCGAAGACACCAUUGAACGCUGUCUGAAGAUUGCAGUCUGAGCAAUUAGUUAAAUAACUUAAAACUUUCAACAACGGAUCUCUUGGUUCCGGCAUCGAUGAAGAACGCAGCGAAAUGCGAUACGUAAUGUGAAUUGCAGAAUUCAGUGAAUCAUCGAGUCUUUGAACGCACAUUGCGCCCCCUGGUAUUCCGGGGGGCAUGCCUGUCCGAGCGUCAUUGCUGCCCUCAAGCACGGCUUGUGUGUUGGGCUCCGUCCUCCUUCCGGGGGACGGGCCCGAAAGGCAGCGGCGGCACCGCGUCCGGUCCUCGAGCGUAUGGGGCUUCGUCACCCGCUCUGUAGGCCCGGCCGGCGCUUGCCGACACAUCAAUCUUUUUUCCAGGUUGACCUCGGAUCAGGUAGGGAUACCCGCUGAACUUAAGCAUAUCAAU
Molecule: ribosomal RNA, 512 nt
Filed under: Penicillium citreonigrum
Lineage: Eukaryota; Fungi; Ascomycota; Eurotiomycetes; Eurotiales; Aspergillaceae
Description: eukaryotic LSU rRNA
Rfam family: 5.8S ribosomal RNA (bases 146-299)
Source: RNAcentral